Molecule: ribosomal RNA, 417 nt
Filed under: Triticum aestivum (bread wheat)
Lineage: Eukaryota; Viridiplantae; Streptophyta; Magnoliopsida; Poales; Poaceae
Description: partial small subunit ribosomal RNA
Source: RNAcentral
AUGACUACCUUGGAUAUGACCAAAAAUAUUGCAUAUAUGCAUAUUUGUCAGGUGAUUUCUAGUGCAAACUAUUCAAUAAUCUAUUUAUGUUAUCCAGAACAAAAAUACUUCACACACUUUUGUGUUUUGUCUAAUUGCAGGUGUAUGGGACAUUUGUACAAUCCACAUAUGAAGAUAAGGAAGAAAGAGAUGUUUAUUUGCUGUCCAAAAAGUUCUCUCACGUCACUUUUGGCCCAAGAGAAGAUAGAGUCCAAGUCUCACGUUCUGGAUUCAGAUUCGGACUGCACAGACAUACCUGACUCAAAACGCACACAAGUUUUUCAUACGGACUCCGAAUUAGGAAUAGACCUUCGUGGUCAGGUUGAUCGUGCUCCGGCGUGGUCAAUAACCUCUCGGAGUUGGUUUAGCGAUUGCUAA